UGUCUACCGGUGGUCAGCCUGAAAAUGCCCUCACGAACAGAAUAUCUGAGGUCAAGGAAACAAAGGUUCUUCUCCAGCCUGUGAACCUCAUAUAACCACAUAUGCAUAUGCAUGGGCACACAUCUGUCCUGAUGAGUAUACUGUAAGCACUUCUUACUCAUGUGCUGUCCUAACGAGCUACUGCUCAAAAGUGGCUACUACUUCAACAUCUGUGACAGGCUAUGGUCUCCAAAGACGGUUGCACCGAUAUCUCCCAUACCACAUGUACUUCUAGAACAUUCCAUUCCUUCAUCAGUAGAUGGGGUCUGUGUCUCCCCUUCUUAAGGCCGGGUAGGACUCUGACUACUUUAACUGAAAGGGCAUGGUAGAAGUAACUCCUGGAUUCCAAGGCUAGAUCACAAAAUGCCAUGCCUUCUUCUCUGGGACACUCUUUUGGCAACUCAACAAUAAAGUCCAAGUAGAAGUGAAGGGGCCACAGCAGAGGAAGUGAGACCUCCACCCUACAUCCCUAGCUGGGUUCCUGUCUGACAGGUUGUUGUGUGACUACACAUAUGAGUCAUCUUUCAAUCACUGUAAUAAAAUACCUGAUAUAAUGAACUUAUUAAGGAAAGGGUUUAUUUUAGUUCGCAAUACUGGAGAUUCCAGUCCAUGAUAGAUUGACUCAUUAUUUUGGGCCUGUGGUAAGGUGGGAACAUCUGACAUAUCAAAAUAUCUGAUGGUUCUAAACACUUCAAGGAGGACAAGGAGAGGAAGAGGCUAAUCCCUGGUGGGGGCACUACGCAAUGACCUAACAGCCUUCCACUAGGUUCCACUUCCCAAUAAGAUCACCCCAGAGGCCAGGCUGUUAACACAUCAUGGUCCAUUCAGCAUCCUAUGGCAGGAGCUACAUAGAGAGUAUAUCAAUCGUCUUUUUUAUUAAGAUGCCAGGACUCGCGUUGCAUAAAAAGGAGACAACGCAUCCCUUCCAACCUUCAUUCAAGCUUAGGAUUUGAAAACAAAAUAAAAUUUGGAAGAACAAAAAUAAUGUAUACUACUUAUCAACAACACCAUCAGAAGAAAAUAAUAUAUGACUUCUUACUAUUUACUGAAGGGCUCCUGAACCACACCGUGAGCUGAACAAUUUGUGUAUACCCUUAGCCCUCACCCAGUGGCUGAAGGAAGCAGAGACAGACAUCCACAGAUAUACACUGAGCUGAAAUCAGGAAUUUAGUUGAAGAGAGGGAGGAAUGAAGAACGAAAGGGUCUGUACCAGGUUGGAGAAACCCACAGGAACAGUUGACCUGAACAAGGGAGAGCACAUCGACCCCAGAUGCUGUCGGGGAGGCCAGUACAAGACUGAUCCAGACCCCUGAACAUGGAUGUCAAUAAGGAGGCCUCUGCACUCCAGGGAGCCUCUGGUGGUGGAUUAGUAUUUUUCCCUGGUGCAAGAAGGGACUUUGAGAGCCCAUCCCACGUGAAGGGAUACACUCUGGCCCUGGACACAUGGGGAAGGGCCCAGGCCCAGCCCAGGAAGAUUUGGUGGACUUUGCAGAGCCCCUGUUGAGGGCCCUACCCUGCCUGGGGAGUGGUGG
Molecule: long non-coding RNA, 1571 nt
Filed under: Cricetulus griseus (Chinese hamster)
Lineage: Eukaryota; Metazoa; Chordata; Mammalia; Rodentia; Cricetidae
Description: lncRNA (ENSCGRG00015038758.1)
Source: RNAcentral